Molecule: ribosomal RNA, 524 nt
Filed under: uncultured bacterium
Lineage: Bacteria
Description: bacterial SSU rRNA
Rfam family: Bacterial small subunit ribosomal RNA
Source: RNAcentral
GGCUCAGGACGAACGCUGGCGGCGUGCCUAAUACAUGCAAGUCGAACGGCUUUUCUAUGGAAGCUUGCUUCCACUGAGAAGAUAGUGGCGAACGGGUGAGUAACACGUGGGUAACCUGCCCAUAAGAGGGGGAUAACAUCCGGAAACGGGUGCUAAUACCGCAUAGUUUUCUUGAUCGCAUGAUCGGGAAAGGAAAGACGGCCUUUGUGCUGUCGCUUAUGGAUGGACCCGCGGCGUAUUAGUUAGUUGGUGAGGUAACGGCUCACCAAGACGAUGAUACGUAGCCGACCUGAGAGGUGAUCGGCCACAUUGGGACUGAGACACGGCCCAAACUCCUACGGGAGGCAGCAGUAGGGAAUCUUCCGCAAUGGACGAAAGUCUGACGGAGCAACGCCGCGUGAGUGAAGAAAAGGUUUUCGGAUCGUAAAACUCUGUUGUCAGAGAAGAACAAGUUGGAGAGUAACUGCUCCAGCCUUGACGGUAUCUGACCAGAAAGCCACGGCUAACUACGUGCCAGCCGCAGC